UACAGGGGGUGCAAACGUUGCUCGGAAUUAUUGGGCGUAAAGCGCGCGUAGGCGGCUACCUAAGUCGGAUGUGAAAGCCCCUGGCUCAACUGGGGAAGUGCACCCGAAACUGAGUAGCUAGAGUGCAAAAGAGGGUCGCGGAAUUCCCGGUGUAGAGGUGAAAUUCGUAGAUAUCGGGAGGAACACCGGUGGCGAAGGCGGCCUUCUGGUCCAGUACUGACACUCAAGUGCGAAAGCGUGGGGAGCAAACAGG
This 253-nucleotide ribosomal RNA is filed under the name uncultured bacterium. RNAcentral's name for it is "partial 16S ribosomal RNA". It matches the Rfam family "Bacterial small subunit ribosomal RNA", at positions 524 to 776 of the family's 1533-position model. The record is from RNAcentral.